GUUACCUGUUACAUCUCAGGACAACAGGUGUGUACAUGUGGUUUAAAGACUACUUUACACGCUAUGUCAACCUUUUCCAGCGUGUCUUUACAGUAGCAAAAUGUAUGUUUGAGGACUAUAUCAGACAACAUGGGUUGCCAGAGUGUAGUCACACAGACCAGGUAGGCAAUUGGAGUCAGACCUUGUAAAACACUUUGGAAAACCUUGCUGGAAUAGUUACCUCUACUGCCCCCCAGUGGCCGUUAGAAAGGAUGCACACAUUUUGUGUUGAAGUCCUUAAAGCUGUCUUUCACUUUUUGUCUUGUCCUUUGUGUCCCAGAUGAAGUCGUGAGUGGCUCGGGGGAGGAUAGGCGGGACAUUAGCUCGGAAACAUUCUUCUUUUCUUUUUUACAAGAACUUUGCUGACAAAGUGCAAGUGUUUGUGGGCGUUACUGUACAUGUUGGUAUUGAUCACACCACCCAGUAAAUUCAAGGAACGUUUUCAAAAUCAUUAAAUGAUUUUAGACUUUCAUUUUGUGAACAAUAUAAACAUAUAUUAAUAUAAACAUAUGGAGGAGUCAGAUAGGGGUGGUUAGGGCAUCUGGUCAGGAUGCCACCUGAACGCAUAGGGAGGUGUUUAGGACACGUCUGACCGGUAGGAGGCCACCAGGAAGACCCAAGACACCUUGGGAACGCCUCGGGAUCCAGGAGCUGGACGAAGUGGCUGGGGAGAGCGAAGUGUGGGUUUCCCUGCUUAGGCUGCUGCCCCCGCGACCCGACCUCAGAUAAGCGGAAGAAGACGGAUGGAUGGAUGAAUAAACAUAUAUGAAUACAACAAUAGUCGUGUGGAGAGAGAGUUUGGCCAACCCGGGUUUGGAGUCAGUGUCUAACAAGGCGCCCUCUAGUCACCUGAGGGGAUUUGACCAACUAUUACAUCUCAUGCUCUUCGUAUGUACCUAUCUUUAAUGUUUAUAGUACACAAUGAAUCAUAUUUAGCUGUGAAAUGUGUGUUUUUUAUGAUGUUAGACGAUCUCUGAUUACAUCACUUGUCCAUGCCAGCUAACUUUCAUUUGUUGUCAUCUGCCUCCAUCUAGUGGACGUUUGUUGUACUGUUACUUAUAGAAUUCACCGGUAAAUAGUAGACAUCUCAUCUGUCACUGGUAUUUAGUCAUUAUAACAAUACAUACAGUGGUGUGUGACAAAGUUAAACUUAGAUUUAAGUCACAUGGAAUACUUAAUAAUCUGUGGUCUGUGAUAUGACAUUAUUAAGUUCAUUUAAUUCAUGCAUUUACAAUGUUUGUGUCCUACAGUUUCACCCUUUCAAUUGUCAAUCAACCUGGCCUCCAUCAGUCAACCUGGUGUUCAGAGGGAAUUAAAAAAAGGGAAUAAGCGGUAGGAAAUGGAUGGACAAGGUGUAUCGCCACAAUUUUAACCACUUUUGUCAUUGCAAUGAAUGACGCACGGGGGCGCCACUAACUCCCAUCGCAUCAUUUAUUUUUUAAAUGAUGAUAUUUUUUAAACCAAAUACUUACUGAAACCUAACAAAAAAUAUAUUUUACCUUUUCAGAAAUAAAUGAAUUAUUAUAAAAUAGUAAAAAAAAAAAUCGUUUUGUUUUCCAUUUAAGGCUGCUAGAUACAUCUUUAAGGUGUGCGAUUUCAUAAAGAACAACGUAUUUUUUAAUGUUUGUUUUGUAUGUAAUGGUUUAUGAUGACAUUGUUAUUGAAGUACAGAUGACACCAAAGAACGCGACCACCAAAAGGGGAAUAAGCGGUAGAAAAUGGAUCGAUGGAAGGACUAAAGAAGCAUGGGUCGCAAGGGGUGCUGGAGCCUAUCUCAGCUACAUUCGGGCGAAAGGCGGGGUAUACCCUGGACAAGUCGCCACCUCAUCACAGAGCCAACACAGAUAGACAGACAACAUUCACACACUAGGGCCCAUUUAGUGUUGCCAAUCAACCUAUCCCCAGGUGCAUGUCUUCGGAGGUGGGAGGGGCCUAUCCCCAGGUGCAUGUCCUUGGAGGUGGGAGGGGCCUAUCCCCAGGUGCAUGUCUUUGGAGGUGGGAGGAAGCCGCAGUACCCGGAGGGAACCCACGCAGUCACGGGGAGAACAUGCAAACUCCACACAGAAAGAUCCGAACCCAGGACCUUGGCAUUAUGAGGCACACAUACCAGUGUUUCCAUAUAUAGGAUUGGUACCUAACAGAACUACACCUAGAAUUGGUUGUCUGUAUAAUAAAAGCAUUCUCAGGCCCCUGCAGUCUACAUAUAAACUUAAACAUCAGUUUUCUCAGGGUGGCGUGGAAGGUGUUUAUCCCUAAAUGACAAAAAAGCUUGCUGGCACUACUACCCCUGGCCUUUCUGAGCAGGAUUCUGAGACACUCAUUAUAUGCAAGCUGGAGUUUGUGCAAGUUCUUUUUCUUGAACCUCACCCAGAGGGGUGCUGUGUACAUAGUGGUGCAGUAAGCUCUAAACAAGUACACCUUUGCCUUAUCAGAGCAGUAAUGACAUUUUCUCACCAGCAUAUUGGCUUUCUUCUCGGUCUAAGCAUGUCAGCAUCAUCUUCCAUCUUGUCAUUGAUGAUGCGGCCUAAGUAUUUGACAUUGUUGCACACAGACAGGGUUUGACCAGACAAAUAGAAACCUUGGAAAUGAGGAUGUUGAUCCUCCUUGGUCCUACAUAUCAUUACCAUACUCUUUGUGGCUGACUCCAAAGUGUGAGCAUAUGUUAAGAAGCUGCUGGAACCCUGCACUACUGGGAGAUAUAAUGGCCAAAUCAUCAGCGUACAUCAAGUGGUUGAUGAAGGUGUUCCCCAUCAUGCAUUCUGUUCUGCCUGGUGAUAGAAGCCCACCCUGCCGUACCCCAUUGCCAACUCUAAAGAGAGAGGAUAAACUACUCCCCCAUUUGACCUGCAUGGUCUGCCUGUGGUAGCAAUAUGCCAGAAUAUACCCACAACACCCCUGUGCUUCAGAUUGCUGAAGAGUUGGAGAUGGUUGACUCUGUCAAAUGCCUUAGAUGCGUCAAUAAACCCCACCGACAUUGUAGAA
Nerophis ophidion (straightnose pipefish) is the source of this 3021-nucleotide long non-coding RNA. RefSeq lists it as uncharacterized. Lineage: Eukaryota; Metazoa; Chordata; Actinopteri; Syngnathiformes; Syngnathidae. The record is from RefSeq and is a predicted model, not a curated record. The transcript has 3 exons.